ACAACGGCUCUUUUAAGAGCCACCUCACUACCUCCUGAAGAACUUAU
Regulatory RNA element from Gasterosteus aculeatus (three-spined stickleback), 47 nucleotides. It matches the Rfam family "Histone 3' UTR stem-loop". From Rfam's summary of the family: The mRNAs of metazoan histone genes lack a poly-A tail. 3' end processing occurs at a site between a highly conserved stem-loop (modelled by this family) and a purine rich region around 20 nts downstream (the histone downstream element, or HDE). The stem-loop is bound by a 31 kDa stem-loop binding protein (SLBP - also termed the histone hairpin binding protein, or HBP). The record is from Rfam. NCBI's taxonomy places the organism in Eukaryota, Metazoa, Chordata, Actinopteri, Perciformes, Gasterosteidae.